GACGAACGCUGGCGGCGUGCUUAACACAUGCAAGUCGAACGGAAAGGCCCUGCUUUUGUGGGGUGCUCGAGUGGCGAACGGGUGAGUAACACGUGAGUAACCUGCCCUUGACUUUGGGAUAACUUCAGGAAACUGGGGCUAAUACCGGAUAGGAGCUCCUGCUGCAUGGUGGGGGUUGGAAAGUUUCGGCGGUUGGGAAUGGACUCGCGGCUUAUCAGCUUGUUGGUGGGGUAGUGGCUUACCAAGGCUUUGACGGGUAGCCGGCCUGAGAGGGUGACCGGCCACAUUGGGACUGAGAUACGGCCCAGACUCCUACGGGAGGCAGCAGUGGGGAAUAUUGCACAAUGGGCGGAAGCCUGAUGCAGCAACGCCGCGUGCGGGAUGACGGCCUUCGGGUUGCAAACCGCUUUCGCCUGUGACGAAGCGUGAGUGACGGUAAUGGGUAAAGAAGCACCGGCUAACUACGUG
RNAcentral lists this ribosomal RNA (468 nucleotides) under uncultured bacterium. RNAcentral describes it as "partial 16S ribosomal RNA". It matches the Rfam family "Bacterial small subunit ribosomal RNA", at positions 28 to 507 of the family's 1533-position model. The record is from RNAcentral.